AAUAUUUUCUGACUGGAUAAUUAAAGCUCACAGCAUCUACCUGUCUGUAGUGGAUUUUCCCACAUCUUAAAUAAUCUAAUCUCAUUUAAUGUCUCUGUUUUUAGUCUGUAUAGUUUAUCUCCCCACGAAUACACUCAAAGUAGUCUUAAAAUAAAAUCCAUAAAACAGUUCAAGAUGACAUACUUUUUAUUUGCUCGUUUAAUGCCAGUUGCCCUCUUUCUCUGUGCGUCACUCAUUCGCUUAUACUCAGGCAAAAAGUACCCAUUUGUAUACUAGUCUAGUGUAUUUUUCCCUCUCUCUCUAUGUCUCACACAUACAGACCAACACACAGUCAUGUAUAUGCUCAUUAAUGCUGUUCAACCUGAUGAUCAAAUUUCCAAGCACCACCUGAACGCCUCAUCUGUUUUUAACCCAUCACUGGACCAACUGUCGUCAUUCCGCUUUGCUCUCUGCUGUGGAACUUGACUGACAUCUGUGCUUUGCCUGGUAGGUGUGCACAUACUGUAAGAGAAGUAGACCAAAAUAAAAA
Long non-coding RNA from Haplochromis burtoni (Burton's mouthbrooder), 529 nucleotides. RefSeq lists it as uncharacterized. The transcript is spliced from 2 exons. NCBI's taxonomy places the organism in Eukaryota, Metazoa, Chordata, Actinopteri, Cichliformes, Cichlidae. The record is from RefSeq and is a predicted model, not a curated record.